RNAcentral lists this long non-coding RNA (419 nucleotides) under Gallus gallus (chicken). Its description in RNAcentral is "long non-coding RNA NONGGAT003345". Lineage: Eukaryota; Metazoa; Chordata; Aves; Galliformes; Phasianidae. The record is from RNAcentral.
CACCAUGCAGGGCUGAUUAGUUGCCAUGGCUCUUAAAAGGCGUUUGUCCUCUGGGGACCUCCAAGGACCACGGCUUCCCCUCUCUCUCUCAGAUGCCAUUGAGGUCCCCAGGACUGCGAGGCCACAGCGAUGGGCAGCUCUGAGCUGAGAUGGAGGCACUCGACCACACGUUGCUCAGCACAUCCCCUGUCCUGCUUGAGCAGAGCAUCCCAGCAACGGGGAUCUGUGCAUCACAUAAUGUGACAGUGCGGUGACACCCUCAGCAGCCCCAUACAGCACCCUCAGCCCUACAGACAAUGGGGUCAGGCUGUUUGCUGCUGGUGACCUUGUUCCUGGCUUCAAAUCAUCACACCUGACCCUGCUGAUCCCAAACCACUUCCCAGCAGCUCAUGUGCCACCAUCUGAGAGUGCCUCCAAAC